RNAcentral lists this ribosomal RNA (441 nucleotides) under uncultured bacterium. RNAcentral describes it as "partial 16S ribosomal RNA". It matches the Rfam family "Bacterial small subunit ribosomal RNA", at positions 338 to 795 of the family's 1533-position model. The record is from RNAcentral.
CCUACGGGAGGCAGCAGUGGGGAAUAUUGGGCAAUGGGCGCAAGCCUGACCCAGCAAUGCCGCGUGAAGGAAGAAGGCUUUCGGGUUGUAAACUUCUUUGACAGGGGAAGAGCAGAAGACGGUACCCUGAAAACAAGCCACGGCUAACUACGUGCCAGCAGCCGCGGUAAUACGUGGGUGGCAAGCGUUGUCCGGAUUUACUUGGUGUAAAGGGCGUGUAGCCGGGAAGGCAAGUCAGAUGUGAAAUCUGGAGGCUCAACCUCCAAAUUGCAUUUGAAACUGUUUUUCUUGAGUACUGGAGAGGCAGACGGAAUUCCUGGUGUAGCGGUGAAAUGCGUAGAUAUAAGGAGGAACACCAGUGGCGAAGGCGGUCUGCUGAACAGCAACUGACGGUGAGGCGCGAAAGCGUGGGGAGCAAACAGGAUUAGAUACCCAGUAGUC